Molecule: ribosomal RNA, 494 nt
Filed under: Cronobacter sakazakii
Lineage: Bacteria; Pseudomonadati; Pseudomonadota; Gammaproteobacteria; Enterobacterales; Enterobacteriaceae
Description: partial 23S ribosomal RNA
Rfam family: Bacterial large subunit ribosomal RNA
Source: RNAcentral
UUGUGUGUCAGUGGAACGGUCUGGAAAGGCCGGCGAUACAGGGUGACAGCCCCGUACACGAAGGCACACAGGCUGUGAGCUCGAUGAGUAGGGCGGGACACGUGAUAUCCUGUCUGAAGAUGGGGGGACCAUCCUCCAAGGCUAAAUACUCCUGACUGACCGAUAGUGAACCAGUACCGUGAGGGAAAGGCGAAAAGAACCCCGGCGAGGGGAGUGAAACAGAACCUGAAACCGUGUACGUACAAGCAGUGGGAGCCUUCGUAAGAGGGUGACUGCGUACCUUUUGUAUAAUGGGUCAGCGACUUAUAUUCUGUAGCAAGGUUAACCGUAUAGGGGAGCCGAAGGGAAACCGAGUCUUAACCGGGCGUUAAGUUGCAGGGUAUAGACCCGAAACCCGGUGAUCUAGCCAUGGGCAGGUUGAAGGUUGGGUAACACUAACUGGAGGACCGAACCGACUAAUGUUGAAAAAUUAGCGGAUGACCUGUGGCUGGGGG